This 306-nucleotide signal recognition particle RNA is filed under the name Thermoplasmatales archaeon BRNA1. RNAcentral's name for it is "Archaeal signal recognition particle RNA". It matches the Rfam family "Archaeal signal recognition particle RNA". Lineage: Archaea; Methanobacteriati; Thermoplasmatota; Thermoplasmata; Thermoplasmatales. The record is from Rfam by way of RNAcentral.
CGAUAGGCUUGCCGGGGAGCUAGGCGUGCCCUGUAACCGAAAUCGUCUUCAGCGGUGGGACUUCAGGGGGCGGCAGAGCUGAAACGGCAGGCUCGCAAAGUAACUAUGAGACUUUGUCCUGCAGAGUUGGAGUAUCCUGUCGUUCCCGCCGGAGGGUGGGCGCGGCUCGACCAAUCGGGGGAAUCGGGUCAGGCCCUGACGGGAGCAGCCUUACCCCGAGCUACUGACGUUUGCGGGGAAGCAGGGUUGAGAAGCGAUGCGAUAAACCUGCCUGCGGAGGCGAUGUCCACCUCUGAUCGCCUAUCA